Long non-coding RNA from Vicia villosa (hairy vetch), 508 nucleotides. RefSeq lists it as uncharacterized. The transcript has 2 exons. The record is from RefSeq and is a predicted model, not a curated record. Lineage: Eukaryota; Viridiplantae; Streptophyta; Magnoliopsida; Fabales; Fabaceae.
GACAAUAAAAUAAAUUAAAAUAUAUCAUGUAUUUUAGUGCUAUAAAUAUUUAAGUGUUUUUAGCAUUGUAUUAAUAUACAUUGAAUAUAUCUCAAUUCAUUUGUAAAACUUAAAAAUAAAAAUAUAUGGCUAAAAUUCUCAAAUUUCUUUAUGUUAUAGUUUUGUUUUUGUCCCUAUUCUUUCUUUCAGCGAAGGCUAUCCUUCCAUGCAAAACUGACGAAGAUUGUGACAAGGGGUUUGUUAGAGUUGACGGGAUUGCGUUUGAUGCCCAAGUUUUGUGCAUUGAAGACGAAUGUUGCUUGUUAAUGCCGAUAUAAGGAACAAAUAUAAAGAAAAAAUUAUGAAUAAUUUAUCUUAUGGUAGAAUAUUUCAUAAGUUGCCAUUUAAGAUUUAUGCUUCCAACCAAAAAUUGUAUUUUUAGAUUUUCUGAAAUUAUGACUUUGUUCUUUAAAAUAUUGACAAUGAAAUGCAAAAUACAAUGAAAAUUACAGCAAUGUAAUUUUUUUCA